UUCUGAUUAGUCUAGUGGGUAGGAUUCCUGAUUUUCAACCAGGCUGCCCAGGUUCAGUCCCUGAGCAGAAA
RNAcentral lists this transfer RNA (71 nucleotides) under Sus scrofa (pig). It matches the Rfam family "tRNA". Rfam says of the family: Transfer RNA (tRNA) molecules are approximately 80 nucleotides in length. Their secondary structure includes four short double-helical elements and three loops (D, anti-codon, and T loops). The record is from Rfam by way of RNAcentral. Lineage: Eukaryota; Metazoa; Chordata; Mammalia; Artiodactyla; Suidae.